This 82-nucleotide transfer RNA is filed under the name Anaeramoeba flamelloides. RNAcentral describes it as "tRNA-Ser". It matches the Rfam family "tRNA". From Rfam's summary of the family: Transfer RNA (tRNA) molecules are approximately 80 nucleotides in length. Their secondary structure includes four short double-helical elements and three loops (D, anti-codon, and T loops). Lineage: Eukaryota; Anaeramoebidae. The record is from RNAcentral.
GGCAGAGUGGCCGAGUGGUUAAGGCGUUUGACUUGAAAUCAAAUUCCCUCGUGGAGCGCAGGUUCGAGUCCUGUCUCUGUCG